CCGGCCUGAGAGGGUGAACGGACACACUGGAACUGAGACACGGUCCAGACUCCUACGGGAGGCAGCAGUAGGGAAUAUUGCUCAAUGGGGGAAACCCUGAAGCAGCAACGCCGCGUGGAGGAUGAAGGUUUUAGGAUUGUAAACUCCUUUUGUUAGAGAAGAUAAUGACGGUAUCUAACGAAUAAGCACCGGCUAACUCCGUGCCAGCAGCCGCGGUAAUACGGAGGGUGCAAGCGUUACUCGGAAUCACUGGGCGUAAAGAGCGCGUAGGCGGGAUAGUCAGUCAGGUGUGAAAUCCUAUGGCUUAACCAUAGAACUGCAUUUGAAACUACUAUUCUAGAGUGUGGGAGAGGUAGGUGGAAUUCUUGGUGUAGGGGUAAAAUCCGUAGAGAUCAAGAGGAAUACUCAUUGCGAAGGCGACCUGCUGGAACAUUACUGACGCUGAUUGCGCUUAAAGCCGUGGGAAAA
Molecule: ribosomal RNA, 468 nt
Filed under: Helicobacter pylori
Lineage: Bacteria; Pseudomonadati; Campylobacterota; Epsilonproteobacteria; Campylobacterales; Helicobacteraceae
Description: bacterial SSU rRNA
Rfam family: Bacterial small subunit ribosomal RNA
Source: RNAcentral